AGCCCAGACAUGGACAUGAUUGACAGAUGGAGAGCUGUCUUGAUUCCAUGGGAGGUGGAGUGAUUUUUCUGGUUAAUUCUGAUAAUGAAUGAGACCCUGGCAUGCUAACUAGUUUGCAAUCCCUGAGUGGUCAGCAUUAAAUUUUGGUCUCUAAACUGAAGCAAUACAGAUUCAAUGUAUGGACCACUCAUAAGGAACUGCCUGACUGGUUGCAACCAAAGAGUUGUGAUCAAUGGCU
RNAcentral lists this non-coding RNA (238 nucleotides) under Calypte anna (Anna's hummingbird). Lineage: Eukaryota; Metazoa; Chordata; Aves; Apodiformes; Trochilidae. The record is from Rfam by way of RNAcentral.